GGGGAUUUAGCUUGGUGGUAUAAGUGCCUGCCUGGCAAGCACAAGGUUGUGAGUUCAAUCCCCG
Molecule: transfer RNA, 64 nt
Filed under: Cavia porcellus (domestic guinea pig)
Lineage: Eukaryota; Metazoa; Chordata; Mammalia; Rodentia; Caviidae
Rfam family: tRNA
About the family: Transfer RNA (tRNA) molecules are approximately 80 nucleotides in length. Their secondary structure includes four short double-helical elements and three loops (D, anti-codon, and T loops).
Source: Rfam by way of RNAcentral